Molecule: non-coding RNA, 205 nt
Organism: Oryza punctata
Lineage: Eukaryota; Viridiplantae; Streptophyta; Magnoliopsida; Poales; Poaceae
Source: Rfam
AAAGAGUGCAGUUUUACAUUAUUCACAUCCAACAUUUGACAGUUCGUUUUAUUUGAAAUUUAUUAUUAUUAGUAUUUUUAUUAUUAUUAGAUGAUAAAACAUUAAUAGUACUUUAUGUGUGACUAUUUUUUUAAAAUUCUCAUUAUUUUUUCAAAUAAAACGGACGAUUAAACGUUGAACACGGAUAUCCAUGGCUGCACUUAAA